AAAAUGGCCUUCUUUAAGGCCACUAAAAGCAACAUCCCAGGGUUUG
This is a non-coding RNA of Xenopus tropicalis (tropical clawed frog), 46 nucleotides long. NCBI's taxonomy places the organism in Eukaryota, Metazoa, Chordata, Amphibia, Anura, Pipidae. The record is from Rfam.